RNAcentral lists this ribosomal RNA (605 nucleotides) under uncultured fungus. Its description in RNAcentral is "eukaryotic LSU rRNA". It matches the Rfam family "Eukaryotic large subunit ribosomal RNA", at positions 23 to 641 of the family's 3401-position model. Lineage: Eukaryota; Fungi. The record is from RNAcentral.
ACCCGCUGAACUUAAGCAUAUCAAUAAGCGGAGGAAAAGAAACCAACAGGGAUUGCCUUAGUAACUGCGAGUGAAGCGGCAAAAGCUCAAAUUUGAAAUCUGGCGUCUUUGGCGUCCGAGUUGUAAUUUGGAGAGAUGACUUCGGUGCUGCCGGCCGUCCCAAGUUCCUUGGAACAGGACGUCACAGAGGGUGAGAAUCCCGUGUCUGGUCGGCUGGCGUGUGCCAUGUGAAGUCUCUUCGACGAGUCGAGUUGUUUGGGAAUGCAGCUCAAAAUGGGUGGUAAAUUUCAUCUAAAGCUAAAUAUUGGCGAGAGACCGAUAGCGCACAAGUAGAGUGAUCGAAAGAUGAAAAGCACUUUGAAAAGAGAGUCAAAAAGUACGUGAAAUUGUUGAAAGGGAAGCGCUGGAGAUCAGACUCGACCGUUGGUGAUCAGCAGUCCUUCUGGGCUGUGCACUGGCCGACGGUCGGACCAGCAUCGGUUGCUACGGCGGGAGAAAGGUUGGGGGAAUGUGGCCAACUUCGGUUGGUGUUAUAGCCCCUGGCGUAAUGCCGCCUGCAGCAACCGAGGUCCGCGCAUCUGCUAGGAUGCUGGUGAAAUGGUCUU